AAACUACUCCCCCCGUCCCAAAAUUCUUUGUCUUAGAUUUGUCUAAAUACGGAUGUGUCAAGUCACAUUUUAGUAUUAGAUACAUCCGUAACUAGACAAAUCUAAGACAAGAAUUUUGGGACGGAGGGAGUAGUCA
Non-coding RNA from Triticum aestivum (bread wheat), 136 nucleotides. The record is from Rfam. NCBI's taxonomy places the organism in Eukaryota, Viridiplantae, Streptophyta, Magnoliopsida, Poales, Poaceae.